UAAUACCGGAUAAGAAAGACGGAUCGCAUGAUCAGCUUUUAAAAGGCGGCGUAAGCUGUCGCUAUGGGAUGGCCCCGCGGUGCAUUAGCUAGUUGGUAAGGUAAAGGCUUACCAAGGCGAUGAUGCAUAGCCGAGUUGAGAGACUGAUCGGCCACAUUGGGACUGAGACACGGCCCAAACUCCUACGGGAGGCAGCAGCG
This 200-nucleotide ribosomal RNA is filed under the name uncultured Lactobacillus sp. RNAcentral's name for it is "partial 16S ribosomal RNA". It matches the Rfam family "Bacterial small subunit ribosomal RNA", at positions 164 to 356 of the family's 1533-position model. Lineage: Bacteria; Bacillati; Bacillota; Bacilli; Lactobacillales; Lactobacillaceae. The record is from RNAcentral.